ACGUGAUCUGAGUUCAGACCGGAGUAAUCCAGGUCGGUUUCUAUCUAUAACUGAGCUUAUUCCAGUACGAAAGGACAGAAAAAGCGUGGCCCAUGCUUAAAGUAAGCCACUACUGAUAAUUUCUGCCAACAACUUAAUUUAUGGUCAACCAACAACCUCCCUCAAAAAAAGAGA
Molecule: ribosomal RNA, 174 nt
Filed under: Scinax sp. KAV09
Lineage: Eukaryota; Metazoa; Chordata; Amphibia; Anura; Hylidae
Description: partial 16S large subunit ribosomal RNA
Source: RNAcentral